Molecule: ribosomal RNA, 406 nt
Filed under: uncultured bacterium
Lineage: Bacteria
Description: partial 16S ribosomal RNA
Rfam family: Bacterial small subunit ribosomal RNA
Source: RNAcentral
AUUGAACGCUGGCGGCAGGCUUAACACAUGCAAGUCGAGCGAGCGGCGGACGGGUGAGUAAUGUCUGGGAAACUGCCUGAUGGAGGGGGUUAACUACUGGACACUGUAGCUAAUACCGCAUACCAACAGCUGUGCCCAAAUGGGAUUAGCUAGUGGGUGGGGUAUUGGCACACCUAGGCGACGAUCCCUAGCUGGUCUGAGAGGAUGACCAGCCACACUGGAACUGAGACACGGUCCAGACUCCUACGGGAGGCAGCAGGGGGGAAUAUUGGACAAUGGGCGCAAGCCUGAUGCAGCCAUGCCGCGUGUGUGAAGAAGGCCUUCGGGUUGUAAAGCACUUUAAGCGAGGAGGCGUUACUCGCAGAAGAAGCACCGGCUAACUCCGUGCCAGCAGCCGCGGUAAUAC